UGCAUGUUGCUGAAGCCAGUGGGCACCUAA
RNAcentral lists this non-coding RNA (30 nucleotides) under Homo sapiens (human). The record is from RNAcentral. Lineage: Eukaryota; Metazoa; Chordata; Mammalia; Primates; Hominidae.